RNAcentral lists this long non-coding RNA (1523 nucleotides) under Serinus canaria (Common canary). RNAcentral's name for it is "lncRNA (ENSSCAG00000009024.1)". The record is from RNAcentral. Lineage: Eukaryota; Metazoa; Chordata; Aves; Passeriformes; Fringillidae.
GAGAGAAGCCGCGCUUCCGGCUUGGUUGAGCGAGGUUCUUCCGCGUCUCAGGGAGCUCCGCGUUCCCUCCUAAAUCCAGCCGGGAACGGCGCUGGUCCCGGGCCUCGCUCCGCCGCAGCGGCUGCAAGGUGUCCCAAAGGUGUCCCCAGUGACCAUGAAUUCCCAAGAGCUGCUGGAGUGGCUGGUCAUCAUGGUGGCCACCCUGGGUGACCUGGUGGCCACCAUGGCCAAGCAGGAUGGGGAUGUGCUGCUACCCAGGUCCCCAAGGUCCCUGCACCUGGCCCUGAAGAACUUCAUCGAUAACCUCUAUGUCACCCUGGUCCAGGUCGGUGUCACCUGGUGGCACCGCAGCUUCAUGUCCGAGUGUGAUGACUCUCCCAUCUCCCUGAGCCAGGCCCUGGCCGCCUAUGAGAACACCCCAUGGACCACCUGGGACCAGGUGACAAGAGUGGCCAGGGCCUGGCGGGAGUUGCUGGCCAAGAUUGUGGCUAGCUGGGCCCGGCUGGCCAGGGAGGCCGCUGAGCUCCGUGACACCUGCAGGGAGGUGGCCACUGCUGAGGCCACUACAGCAGCCACUGCCACAGCCCAGGCUGGGGACCUGCAGGAAAAGGCCACCCACUGGAGGAGAGCUCACAGAAACCUGGUGACCACAGCCCGGCAGCUGCCACUGGCCCUGGAAAUGGAGGUGGAGGCCUCGGCAAGUGCUGUGCACGAGGCCCGGGUGAUGGCAGCUGGCAGCGAGAUAGUGGCGGCCACCAUGGCAUUGACAGAGGCUGUGGUGGCCCGCAGCCGGGCAGAGGUGGCCACCAAGAGGGGACAGCGGGCGGAGGCGGCCCUGGGGCUGCUGGAGCGCUUGGUGGCCAUGUGUGACAAAGCCACCGUGUUCCCCCGGGAGCUGCAGCGCCUGCUCAGGGACAUCGAGGCUGCCCUGGAGGGGACAAAUAAGCAUUCCCCAAUGUCCCAGACGACUUGGUGGCCAAGGUGGCUGUGACCAAGUGGCUGUGGGAGGCCAACACCCACCUGGCCAAGGAUUACCUGGAGGGAGCAGUUUGAGACAUCAUCGACUUCUGUUUCACUGCUGGUCCUGCCAGCCCCAGUGCCUGUGGGGUGGACGAGCGGUGCCAAAGAGCCAUCGAGGACAUCCCAAAGCUCAUUCAACCCCAGGAGUGUCCCCAAGGUGUCCCCAACGUGUCCCCAGUGAGCGUGGAGCUCCAAGAGGUGCAAUGGGGGGUGGGGGGAAGAGGACAGAGGGGACACUGGAGUGGGAGGGGGCAAUUGGGGAUGGAGAGGACACGGGGUGGCGAAUGGGACAGGGGGACACAAAGGCGAAAGGAGGGAGUGAUAGGAAGAGGGGAGGUGACAGAGGGGUGGAGGAGCAACAGGGGGGAGGGGCCAGUGGGGAAUGGCAGGGACAUGGGGGCUCAGGGAGGGUGGCAGAGGGGACAGCAGAGGGUCAGGGGGCAGGAGGGGCUACGAUGGGAGGGGCAGGUGGUGGCAGAGGUGACCAGAGGGAUGGAGGGGAU